This 149-nucleotide unclassified non-coding RNA is filed under the name uncultured Hypocreales. RNAcentral describes it as "sequence contains ITS1". Lineage: Eukaryota; Fungi; Ascomycota; Sordariomycetes; Hypocreales. The record is from RNAcentral.
ACGAGUUUUCCAAACUCCAAACCUUUGUGAACAUACCGAUCGUUGCUUCGGCAGGCGGCUCCGGGGGAGCACGAGGCCAUUCGUGGCGCCUGCCGAAAGCCCCAAACUCUUUUUCUAGGAAUUUUCCUGAGUACCAAACAAACAAGUAA